RNAcentral lists this ribosomal RNA (484 nucleotides) under uncultured bacterium. RNAcentral's name for it is "partial 16S ribosomal RNA". It matches the Rfam family "Bacterial small subunit ribosomal RNA", at positions 30 to 507 of the family's 1533-position model. The record is from RNAcentral.
AUUGAACGCUGGCGGCAGGCCUAACACAUGCAAGUCGAGCGGAUGAAGGGAGCUUGCUCCUGGACUCAGCGGCGGACGGGUGAGUAAUGCCUAGGAAUCUGCCUGGUAGUGGGGGAUAACGUCCGGAAACGGGCGCUAAUACCGCAUACGUCCUGAGGGAGAAAGUGGGGGAUCUUCGGACCUCACGCUAUCAGAUGAGCCUAGGUCGGAUUAGCUAGUUGGUGGGGUAAAGGCCUACCAAGGCGACGAUCCGUAACUGGUCUGAGAGGAUGAUCAGUCACAAUGGAACUGGAGAAAGGUCCAGAAUCCUAAGGGAGGGAGCAGUGGGGAAUAUUGGACAAUGGGCGGAAGCCUGAUCCAGCCAAGGCGCGUGUGUGAAGAAGGUCUUCGGAUUGUAAAGCACUUUAAGUUGGGAGGAAGGGCAGUAAGUUAAUACCUUGCUGUUUUGACGUUACCAACAGAAUAAGCACCGGCUAACUUCGUG